Molecule: long non-coding RNA, 1292 nt
Filed under: Heterocephalus glaber (naked mole-rat)
Lineage: Eukaryota; Metazoa; Chordata; Mammalia; Rodentia; Bathyergidae
Description: lncRNA (ENSHGLG00100052393.1)
Source: RNAcentral
CACCUGGUCCUCAGAAGCACAAGUGAAACAAUCUGGAGGCUGUGACUGGCAUUGGCCGGGGCGGGGUGCCUUGGGGACUGAAUCUCCUUGCACAGAGGGUCAGGGCUGAGAGUGCUGACUGCCGGCUUGCUGGUGGGGAGAGAUCCUGACAGCUUCUGAGGUCCUGGGAGUGCCUGUGUUGGUUCCUGGGGUUGCUUACUGUGUGCCAGGCACCAAGCAUAGUCUGGAGAGAUGAUGGUCCAAAGACAGAGCUGCAUAAUACCAAGAAAAAACACUUGUAGCCAGGGAUUUAGCUCAGUGGUUCCGGCUCCUGCUUCGAAAUCACAAGGUCCCGAGUUCAAUUCCUGGUACCAAAAAAAAAAAGAAAGAAAAAAACCCCACAUAAAUGUGGGAUGCUCGAUGACAGGAGCCCAUGCAACGUGAUAGGGAACAACACAGAGGAGGGAAUGUCAGUGUGGAUGGAAGGAGGAGAGGCAGGCCUUGGUAGAACUGGACCCAAAUUACAAGUGCAAUUAUAAAUUUAUUAUACAGAGCUUGAUUUAGGACAGAACCACUAAGUCCUGAUAAAGUCCUGGUUACAGGCCAGGCAUGGUGGUGCACAGCUGUAAUCUCAGGAGGGUGAGGCAGGAGGAUUGCUGCAAGCUUGAGGCAAUCUUUGGCUACAUAGUGAGUUCAGGGCCAGCCUGUCCCAAAACCCCCCCACAAAAUAAUAAUAGUAAAUUAAUUAAACAGAAGAAAAAUUACAAUUGAAUGUAAUUAUUAUAGAAGGGGAAUUAGAAGGGUUUUGAAACAAGUGGUAAUAACUGAUUCAGGCAAGAUUCAUAAUAGAUGUUAAAGUCACUGGGUGAAAGUGUGAGAAAACAGGAUAUUUACAGAGCUUCAAAAUGUCUUUCCAGGGCUGAGAUAUGGGGUGGGGAAAGGGGACCAAAAAUAGUCAUGAUAUUUAUAUGUAUGAAUUCCCCAAAACAUAAUCAUUAUGUGCCACAAACAUAUGACAAUAAAACAUUUAAAUGUCUCUCCACAGAAUACUAAUUACAAAGAUAGAAAAGGAGGCUGGGAAUGUAGCUCAGUGGUAGUGAGCUUGCCUAGCAUGUGCAAGGUGCUGGGUUCCAUCCUUGGAACGGCAAAAACUAAAACUAAAAUAAAAUAACUUCAGAGAAGCCUGCCAGACAUGACCUCAGCCAAGCAACCCACGUCAGCAUCACCAAGAGUGGCUGAACUGACAUCGCAUGCCUCCUGACGUGCACAAGGACGCAACAUCAUUUUCCUGGUUUUCCGGCCAAAACUGCAUU